This 497-nucleotide ribosomal RNA is filed under the name uncultured bacterium. Its description in RNAcentral is "partial 16S ribosomal RNA". It matches the Rfam family "Bacterial small subunit ribosomal RNA", at positions 28 to 507 of the family's 1533-position model. The record is from RNAcentral.
GAUGAACGCUGGCGGCGUGCCUAAUACAUGCAAGUCGAGCGAACGGACGAGAAGCUUGCUUCUCUGAUGUUAGCGGCGGACGGGUGAGUAACACGUGGAUAACCUACCUAUAAGACUGGGAUAACUUCGGGAAACCGUAGCUAAUACCGGAUAAUAUUUUGAACCGCAUGGUUCAAAAGUGAAAGACGGUCUUGCUGUCACUUAUAGAUGGAUCCGCGCUGCAUUAGCUAGUUGGUAAGGUAACGGCUUACCAAGGCAACGAUGCAUAGCCGACCUGAGAGGGUGAUCGGCCACACUGGAACUGAGACACGGUCCAGACUCCUACGGGAGGCAGCAGUAGGGAAUCUUCCGCAAUGGGCGAAAGCCUGACGGAGCAACGCCGCGUGAGUGAUGAAGGUCUUCGGAUCGUAAAACUCUGUUAUUAGGGAAGAACAUAUGUGUAAGUAACUGUGCACAUCUUGACGGUACCUAAUCAGAAAGCCACGGCUAACUUCGUG